This 466-nucleotide ribosomal RNA is filed under the name uncultured bacterium. Its description in RNAcentral is "partial 16S ribosomal RNA". It matches the Rfam family "Bacterial small subunit ribosomal RNA", at positions 28 to 505 of the family's 1533-position model. The record is from RNAcentral.
GACGAACGCUGGCGGCGUGCUUAACACAUGCAAGUCGAACGGAAAGGCCCUGCUUUUGUGGGGUGCUCGAGUGGCGAACGGGGGAGUAACAAGUGAGUAACCUGCCCUUGACUUUGGGAUAACUUCAGGAAACUGGGGCUAAUACCGGAUAGGAGCUCCUGCUGCAUGGUGGGGGUUGGAAAGUUUCGGCGGUUGGGGAUGGACUCGCGGCUUAUCAGCUUGUUGGUGGGGUGGUGGCUUACCAAGGCUUUGACGGGUAGCCGGCUUGAGAGGGUGCACGGCCUCAUCGGUACGGAGAUACGGCCAUGGGCGCUACGGGAGAGAGCAGUGGGGAAUAUUCCACAAAUGGCGCAUGUGUGAUGCAGGAACUCGGCGUGCGGAAUGAUGGUGUUCGGGAUGAAAACCGGUACAGUUUGUGACGAGGCGUGAGAGCCGAUACUAGGUAAAGAAACACGGGCAAACUAUG